This 253-nucleotide ribosomal RNA is filed under the name uncultured bacterium. RNAcentral's name for it is "partial 16S ribosomal RNA". It matches the Rfam family "Bacterial small subunit ribosomal RNA", at positions 524 to 776 of the family's 1533-position model. The record is from RNAcentral.
UACGGAGGGUGCAAGCGUUAAUCGGAAUUACUGGGCGUAAAGCGCACGCAGGCGGUCUGUCAAGUCGGAUGUGAAAUCCCCGGGCUCAACCUGGGAACUGCAUUCGAAACUGGCAGGCUGGAGUCUUGUAGAGGGGGGUAGAAUUCCAGGUGUAGCGGUGAAACGCGUAGAGAUCUGGAGGAAUACCGGUGGCGAAGGCGGCCCCCUGGACAAAGACUGACGCUCAGGUGCGAAAGCGUGGGGAGCAAACAGG